CCUACGGGAGGCAGCAGUGGGGAAUAUUGGGCAAUAGGCGCAAGCCUGACCCAGCAACGCCGCGUUAAGGAAGAAGGCUUUCGGGUUGUAAACUUCUUUUCUGAGGGACGAAGAAAGUGACGGUACCUCAGGAAUAAGCCACGGCUAACUACGUGCCAGAAGCCGCGGUAAUACGUAGGUGGCAAGCGUUAUCCGGAUUUAUUGGGUGUAAAGGGCGUGUAGGCGGGAAAGCAAGUCAGAUGUGAAAACGCAGGGCUCAACCCUGAGCCUACAUUUGAAACUGUUUUUCUUGAGUGCUGGAGAGGCAAUCGGAAGUCCGUGUGUAGCGGUGAAAUGCGUAGAUAUACGGAGGAACACCAGUGGCGAAGGCGGAUUGCUGGACAGUAACUGACGCUGAGGCGCGAAAGCGUGGGGAGCAAACAGGAUUAGAUACCCUGGUAGUC
RNAcentral lists this ribosomal RNA (443 nucleotides) under uncultured bacterium. RNAcentral's name for it is "partial 16S ribosomal RNA". It matches the Rfam family "Bacterial small subunit ribosomal RNA", at positions 338 to 795 of the family's 1533-position model. The record is from RNAcentral.